ACCAACCGGGAUUGCCCUAGUAACGGCGAGUGAAGCGGCAAGAGCUCAAAUUUGAAAGCUGGCCCCCUCGGGGUCCGCAUUGUAAUUUGCAGAGGAUGCUUCGGGAACGGCCCCCAUCUAAGUGCCCUGGAACGGGCCGUCAUAGAGGGUGAGAAUCCCGUCUGGGAUGGGGUGGCCGCGCCCGUGUGAAGCUCCUUCGACGAGUCGAGUUGUUUGGGAAUGCAGCUCUAAUUGGGUGGUAAAUUUCAUCUAAAGCUAAAUAUUGGCCGGAGACCGAUAGCGCACAAGUAGAGUGAUCGAAAGAUGAAAAGCACUUUGAAAAGAGAGUUAAACAGCACGUGAAAUUGUUGAAAGGGAAGCGCUUGCGACCAGACUCGCCCGCGGGGUUCAGCCGGCACUCGUGCCGGUGUACUUCCCCGCGGGCGGGCCAGCGUCGGUUUGGGCGGCCGGUCAAAGGCCUCUGGAAGGUAACGCCUCUCGGGGCGUCUUAUAGCCAGGGGUGCCAUGCGGCCUGCCCGGACCGAGGAACGCGCUUCGGCUCGGACGCUGGCAUAAUGGUCGUAAGCGACCCGUCUUGAAACACGGACCAAGGAGUCUAACAUCUACGCGAGUGUUCGGGUGUCAAACCCGUGCGCGCAGUGAAAGCGAACGGAGGUGGGAACCCCCCGGGGUGCACCAUCGACCGAUCCUGAUGUCUUCGGAUGGAUUUGAGUAAGAGCGUAGCUGUUGGGACCCGAAAGAUGGUGAACUAUGCCUGAAUAGGGCGAAGCCAGAGGAAACUCUGGUGGAGGCUCGCAGCGGUUCUGACGUGCAAAUCGAUCGUC
RNAcentral lists this ribosomal RNA (824 nucleotides) under Penicillium citrinum. Its description in RNAcentral is "eukaryotic LSU rRNA". It matches the Rfam family "Eukaryotic large subunit ribosomal RNA", at positions 64 to 906 of the family's 3401-position model. The record is from RNAcentral. Lineage: Eukaryota; Fungi; Ascomycota; Eurotiomycetes; Eurotiales; Aspergillaceae.